CUUGGUCAUUUAGAGGAAGUAAAAGUCGUAACAAGGUUUCCGUAGGUGAACCUGCGGAAGGAUCAUUACCGAGUUAGGGUCUUCCUAGGCCCGACCUCCCAACCCUAUGUUUACUGAACCCCAUGUUGCUUCGGCGGGACCGUCUCACGACCGCCGGAGGGCCGUAAGACGUCCUCUGGCCCGCGCCCGCCGGUGGCCAAACUUAACAAACUCUGAUAGAAUCGUGUCACUGUCUGAGUACUAUUUUCAAUUAAAAAACAAAAACUUUCAACAACGGAUCUCUUGGUUCUGGCAUCGAUGAAGAACGCAGCGAAAUGCGAUAAGUAAUGCGAAUUGCAGAAUUCCAGUGAGUCAUCGAAUCUUUGAACGCAUAUUGCGCCCUUUGGUAUUCCGAAGGGCAUGCCUGUUCGAGCGUCAUUAUCACCCCUCAAGCCCCCCGCUUGGUGUUGGACGGUUUGGUUUUGGCGACAAGACCCCUCCUAAAGCUAAUGACGGCGGCCUGUGCGACCCCCGGUACACUGAGCUUCUUAACUGAGCACGUACUGGUUCCAGGGUCAACAGGGCCCGGUCUUC
RNAcentral lists this ribosomal RNA (573 nucleotides) under uncultured Chaetothyriales. Its description in RNAcentral is "eukaryotic LSU rRNA". The stretch from base 263 to 417 matches the Rfam family "5.8S ribosomal RNA". Lineage: Eukaryota; Fungi; Ascomycota; Eurotiomycetes; Chaetothyriales. The record is from RNAcentral.